This 397-nucleotide long non-coding RNA is filed under the name Fukomys damarensis (Damara mole-rat). RNAcentral's name for it is "lncRNA (ENSFDAG00000031493.1)". The record is from RNAcentral. Lineage: Eukaryota; Metazoa; Chordata; Mammalia; Rodentia; Bathyergidae.
GCGCUGCCCAAACUGUCCUCCGAAUCCCGACAUCUGCCGGUGCCGGAGUUAAUGGCAGCAGCGGACACUGUGGAACAGUGUGUUAUUCUGACCCUGAAACUCUGAGUACAGUCUCUGUUCUGCCUGCCUGUGAGUGGCCCCGGAAGACUUGGAAGUAAAAGACUUGAAAAUUGACCUGUGGGGCCAAAGGGAAUAAACUAUAAAACCAUGGGGACAUCUGGCUUUUAUUCUAUAUCGGAACAAGUAAUUGAGAGAAUGGCAAGAAGUGAAAACUGAUUUCCUUUCAAUAAGUUGAGCGAUGAAGGUGAGAGAAUGAUAAAUCAAAGGAACAUGAUUAGUGAAGGAAGGCCAGAGCUUACUUUAAGAGCUAAGGAUGAGAAUCCUUUGUGAAGAAGAG